RNAcentral lists this ribosomal RNA (265 nucleotides) under uncultured bacterium. RNAcentral's name for it is "partial 16S ribosomal RNA". The record is from RNAcentral.
CUGCUGCCUUCCGUAGGAGUUUGGGCCGUGUCUCAGUCCCAAUGUGGCCGAUCAACCUCUCAGUUCGGCUACGCAUCAUUGCCUUGGUAAGCCUUUACCCCACCAACUAGCUAAUGCGCCGCGGGCCCAUCCAAAAGCGGUAGCAUAGCCACCUUUUACAUAGUUACCAUGCGGUAACUAUGGUUAUGCGGUAUUAGCACCUGUUUCCAAGUGUUAUCCCCCUCUUUUGGGCAGGUUGCCCACGUGUUACUCACCCCGUUCGCCA